This 101-nucleotide small nuclear RNA is filed under the name Diaphorina citri (Asian citrus psyllid). Lineage: Eukaryota; Metazoa; Arthropoda; Insecta; Hemiptera; Psyllidae. The record is from RNAcentral.
UUCAAGGGAGGGGGAAAGAAAAUAAAAUUGGAACGAUACAGAGAAGAUUAGCAUGGCCCCUGCGCAAGGUUGACUCAUCUUUAGAUUCUUUAGUGUCUCUA